UGACGCAACGGACUCAUGACGUCACGGACCAGGUCAGCGAUCAUCCGGCGGCCCUCCAAUGCCCCAGUGGGGGUCGCCCCCUACCUGAGGGUCGGCCCUGAAGAGGGUCCUUCGACGGACUCACAACGUCAGCCUCAGGCCGGCCCGUGCGGCGCCAGUGAUGGCGGGGAGGCAGUACUGAAGAGUGGCAGCGGCAGCGGCGUCCCGGGCAGAGGUGAGCGUGAGGCGGCGCCCAACAAGGCGGAGAGCGUAGUACACCUGUCCGGCGGCACCACCACGGUGACUCUGGCACGUGGGGAAGCCUCUACCCCGCAGGGUCACUCCUCGCCCCCCGCCCUUGGCGUAAAGAAGCAGUUCACCAGGCCUGAGCGCCGCGCUGUCGGGGGCGGGGCGGCGGAGGGCGGGGCUGGCGGGGCAGGUGGCCGAGGAGACAGGGGGAUGGCGGAGCGUCGGGGCUACGCCAUCAGCGGCGCCAGUUACUCGCGCGCCGUGGCCAGUGAGGGCGAGGCAGCCGUCACCGUCACGGUUUCGGAUAGUAGUUCAGUGGACUCCCCGCUCCUUUCCCCUCGCCGGCCCCUUCUUCAUUCCGCCCACAGCAGCCCUGACGCUGGUCUCGUGCAGGUAGAGCUUGUGGAGGCGCAGGGCAUGGAUCUCGACUCAGGAGGACGCUUCGACCGCCGCGCCACCAUCAUCGACAGCGGGCAUGACUUCCGUCGGUUAGGUCGCGUGGGUGGGUCGCGCCUCCACCAGCCCAGAAUGAGCCUCCUAGGGAAGCCUAUCAACUAUAAAACUUCACGCCGGGACGUCCGCUACAGGAAAACACAAGCCAGAGUCUACAACUUCCUAGAGCGGCCGCGGGGAGUGAAGGCAGUCAUCUAUCAUAUGUCCGUGUUCUGCACCAUCUUCAUCUGCCUCACCCUGAGCGUUCUGUCCACGGUAAAGGACUACGAAGACCAAGCUACAGAAGUCCUCUUUUAUAUCGAGUCCUUUGUCGUUGUGUGGUUCACUAUUGAAUAUAUUUUGAGAUUAUGGUCGUCCGGGUGUCGUUCGAGAUACCAGGGGUUUUGGGGCAGGAUGAAGUACGCCAAGAGGCCUUUCUGUUGUAUAGACAUAGUAACCAUAGUGGCCUCGGUCGUGGUGCUGGCAAAUGGGUCCGGCGGGCAGGUGGUGUCUGCCGUGCGGGGCCUGCGUUUCUUCCAGAUUCUGCGCAUGGUGAGGAUGGACAGGCGGGGCGGGACCUGGAAGUUACUAGGCUCUGUCGUGUUUGCGCACAGACAGGAACUCAUCACGACGGUGUACAUAGGGUUCCUGGGGCUGAUCUUCUCCUCCUUCCUCGUCUACCUCGUCGAGAAAGACAACAACGACCACUUCAAAAACUUCCCCGACGCUCUGUGGUGGGGAGUGAUAACGUUGUGCACUGUGGGUUACGGUGACGCUGUGCCCAAGACGUGGGGCGGCAAGAUGAUCGCGUCGGGGUGUGCGCUCCUGGGCAUCUCCUUUUUCGCCCUGCCAGCGGGCAUCCUAGGCUCGGGAUUCGCCUUGAAGGUUCAGCAGCAGCAGCGUCAGAAGCACAUGAUUCGGAGAAGGCAACCGGCGGCCACUCUCAUCCAGUGUCUGUGGCGGUGUUACGCUGCUGAUGAGCACUCCAUGUCAGUGGCCACCUGGAAGAUACACCAGGUGCCUCUUCCUUCACCUCCCUCGAGACAAAUAAGCAUCAAGAUCGAGGAAAAGGAAAAGACCCCUUAUCCUACCUCUAUGAGACAACUGAGUUCGAUCAGGCUGUCUCCGGGCCGAAUCUUCAAGCAUAAUGCAUCCUUCGUGACCAGAUUACCCACAAUCCGCCGCCACAGAAACGCUCACUCGCCAUCCAUCAAAAACAGACACACUGAUUCCAAUCAUGCGUUAGACAACCUAGUCAAUUCUAAUAGAAUAAAUACAAGUCACAGUGAAGAUUCUGUUACGAAAGAGUCUUCUGAUGUGGUUCUAACAAAAAAGAACUCAGACGACGAGGACGAUGACCAACCUCGGGUGCUGCAGCUCACCAACCAACACAAGGCAGCCAUCAGAGCCAUCAGGAAGAUUAGGUACUUCCUUGCCAGGCGUAAGUUCAAAGAGGCCCUAAAACCCUAUGAUGUAAAAGACGUUAUAGAACAAUAUUCCUCGGGCCAUGCAGAUCUGCUAACAAGAGUAAAGUACCUGCACGGGAGGCUGGACCAGAUCCUUGGGAAGCAAGGAUCUAAGGCUAAGGAUGUGUACGAGUCCAAGAUUAGUCUUGCUUCUCGCAUCGUGAAGGUGGAAAGACAGGUUGAUGAUAUUGAGUCUAAAUUGGACCAACUAAUUGACCUGUACAUGGAAGAUCGCAAACGCCUUCUGGCUCUGCCUCCACCUGUGACGGGUCUCCUUCCCACCACACCUACCUCUUCUGCUCCCCUUCCUGGCUCCCCUGACAGCUGCAGCAGUGGCCCCACCACCUCCUUUACCCCAAUAACCAGCUCCUCCACUGUCAUACCCUCAUCUUCCCUGACUGUUCCUGGUGCUCCCCCACCCUACACAUCAGUUCUGAAGCCCAAGCCCAUCCUGGUUGACAAACAGGCAUCUGAACCCAACACACCAACUAACAAGUACUUUGAGAGGCCCAUGACCCGAGGCAACUCUGACGUCUCUCAGAGAAUGAAGAAACGAGUUACCCUAAGACUCCCUUGCAGCUCACUGCCGUCCCGUCAUUCCCUGGAGGCCAAGGAGCCAGACUUGCUGCAGGUGCCUCAGGUGGUGCAGAUUGAGCACGCUGGUGCACCUUACAUCGAGGAAGACUGUGAUCCCCGUAACCAAGACACACCCCAUCCUAUUCCAUAAAGACAGAACUAACCUUCUAAACCCUAAGUUGUUCCUCUUGGACUCACAACCUGAGUGGGGAGGUCAGGCAUGGUGGUAUGGCCCAAUCCCUGCAACACACAGACGACGACAGCAGUACAAUCAUGACUGAGUACGAGUCCCUAGAGCCAGCCACCAUCAUGGAAGAGAAUGAGUUCUCCUCCAUCACAAUCCCCACCAUCUCAGCCUCUGUUGCACAGGACACCACACUUCAAG
This 3087-nucleotide unclassified non-coding RNA is filed under the name Portunus trituberculatus (swimming crab). Its description in RNAcentral is "potassium voltage-gated channel subfamily KQT member 1-like, transcript variant X14". Lineage: Eukaryota; Metazoa; Arthropoda; Malacostraca; Decapoda; Portunidae. The record is from RNAcentral.